RNAcentral lists this ribosomal RNA (490 nucleotides) under uncultured bacterium. Its description in RNAcentral is "partial 16S ribosomal RNA". It matches the Rfam family "Bacterial small subunit ribosomal RNA", at positions 30 to 507 of the family's 1533-position model. The record is from RNAcentral.
AUUGAACGCUGGCGGCAUGCCUUACACAUGCAAGUCGAACGGCAGCAUGAUCUAGCUUGCUAGAUUGAUGGCGAGUGGCGAACGGGUGAGUCAUACAUCGGAACGUGCCCUGUAGUGGGGGAUAACUAGUCGAAAGAUUAGCUAAUACCGCAUACGACCUGAGGGUGAAAGUGGGGGACCGCAAGGCCUCAUGCUAUAGGAGCGGCCGAUGUCUGAUUAGCUAGUUGGUGAGGUAAAGGCUCACCAAGGCGACGAUCAGUAGCUGGUCUGAGAGGACGAUCAGCCACACUGGGACUGAGACACGGCCCAGACUCCUACGGGAGGCAGCAGUGGGGAAUUUUGGACAAUGGGCGAAAGCCUGAUCCAGCAAUGCCGCGUGUGUGAAGAAGGCCUUCGGGUUGUAAAGCACUGUUGUCCGGAAAGAAAUGGCUCUGGUUAAUACCUGGGGUCGAUGACGGUACCGGAAGAAUAAGGACCGGCUAACUACGUG